This 202-nucleotide ribosomal RNA is filed under the name uncultured bacterium. Its description in RNAcentral is "partial 16S ribosomal RNA". It matches the Rfam family "Bacterial small subunit ribosomal RNA", at positions 1299 to 1500 of the family's 1533-position model. The record is from RNAcentral.
UGCAGCCUGCAACUCGGCUGCACGAAGCCGGAAUCGCUAGUAAUCGCAGAUCAGCAUGCUGCGGUGAAUACGUUCCCGGGUCUUGUACACACCGCCCGUCACACCAUGGGAGCCGGGAAUGCCCGAAGUCAGCGGCCCAACCGAAAGGAGGGAGCUGCCGAAGGCAGGCCUGGUGACUGGGGUGAAGUCGUAACAAGGUAUC